CUGGAAAACGGGUGGUAAUGCCGGAUGCUCCGGUUGGAUGCAUGUCCUUCCGGGAAAGAUCCGUCGGUAUGGGAUGGGGUCGCGUCCUAUCAGCUUGAUGGCGGGGUAACGGCCCACCAUGGCUUCGACGGGUAGCCGGCCUGAGAGGGCGACCGGCCACAUUGGGACUGAGAUACGGCCCAGACUCCUACGGGAGGCAGCAGUGGGGAAUAUUGCACAAUGGGCGCAAGCCUGAUGCAGCGACGCCGCGUGCGGGAUGGAGGCCUUCGGGUUGUAAACCGCUUUUGAUCGGGAGCAAGCCCUUCGGGGUGAGUGUACCCUUCGAAUAAGCACCGGCUAACUACGUGCCAGCAGCCGCGGUAAUACGUAGGGUGCAAGCGUUAUCCGGAAUUAUUGGGCGUAAAGGGCUCGUAGGCGGUUCGUCGCGUCCGGUGUGAAAGCCCAUCGCUUAACGGUGGGUCUGCGCCGGGUACGGGCGGGCUGGAGUGCGGUAGGGGAGACUGGAAUUCCCGGUGUAACGGUGGAAUGUGUAGAUAUC
This 538-nucleotide ribosomal RNA is filed under the name Bifidobacterium dentium. Its description in RNAcentral is "bacterial SSU rRNA". It matches the Rfam family "Bacterial small subunit ribosomal RNA", at positions 149 to 698 of the family's 1533-position model. Lineage: Bacteria; Bacillati; Actinomycetota; Actinomycetes; Bifidobacteriales; Bifidobacteriaceae. The record is from RNAcentral.